Molecule: small RNA, 975 nt
Filed under: Drosophila virilis
Lineage: Eukaryota; Metazoa; Arthropoda; Insecta; Diptera; Drosophilidae
Description: GJ25911
Source: RNAcentral
ACAGUCAGGAGCUCCAACUUUCAGAAAUUAUUUGUUUUACAAAAAAAUAAGAAAAAAUGUGAGAAAAAUACGUUUCGUGCUUAAAAUUAACCUUGUGACUUUUCAAGCGGUUGAGAAUUGUUUUAAAAAGAAAUUUCAAAUUGUGACAAGAAAUAAAUAUAUAUAAAUUUUUUGUUUAGUUCGUACCAAAUUUCGUUUCAAUGUCAAUGUCAGGAAGUGUGCAACUUAGAAAUGUUAGAUGAAAAUACACUCAAAAAAAAACGUUUGAACCCACAAUGUUAUACACAGGAGCACACAAUAAUCAAAACCCUGAUAAAUGGCGAUCUGCUUGGUGUAUUUGCGUUUUUGCUGACUUUAUAAAUCUUUGAUGCGACGGUACCACAGACCACAGACUUUUCAUAUGGUUUGCUGGAUUAGUCGAUCAAAGGCAAAUAUGAAUAAACUGUUUGUGGCACAAAUUCACCCUCCCAUCUGUAGAAAGAAAUAAAAAUACAAAUUAGAACAGAAACACAGAUUACACCUUAUUUAUAUGCAUCUUUCAUGCUCGCUCUGUACAUAGCCAUAUGUAUUAGGAAAACGCAUCUAAAUAACAUAAAAAAAUAACCAACAAACCCAAAAAGCCCCCAAAAAAAAAGCAACGAGCAACUGCAACAAAAAUCGUGUUUUUUGUGUUUACACUUAAACUUACUUUUAUUUUUGUGUUCGCCCAUAUCGUCGUUGUCGCACAUCAGGAAGUAAGCUUCGUUAAUUAACAUUGUCGCGGUUGGUUUCCAAAAUAUCUGCCCGCUUAACAAUACAAUAAUAUUUUGGACGCAAUCGCCUCGUGCAUCGCCAUAAAGGGGUUUAAAUACAGUUCUUGCACGGAAUCCAGUUGAACAGGAUCAUGAGGGUUGCGCGUCACUGUAUUAUCAGAAGCUGCAUAUUUGUUUGUUCUAUUAAUCGUCUAUCAAAAUAAAACCACAGAUGCAACAAACA